GCGGUGGAUCAUGUUUGUUUAAUUCGAUGAUACGCGAAGAACCUUACCAGGUCUUGACAUCCCCCCGCGAUGCUUUAGAGAUAAAGCGGAGGUAUUCGGGGAGACAGGUGGUGCAUGGUUGUCGUCAGCUCGUGUCGUGAGAUGUUGGGUUAAGUCCCGUAACGAGCGCAACCCUUGUCCUUAGUUACCAGCACGUUAUGGUGGGCACUCUAAGGAGACUGCCGGUGACAAACCGGAGGAAGGUGGGGAUGACGUCAAGUCAUCAUGGCCCUUACGGCCUGGGCUACACACGUGCUACAAUGGUCGGUACAAAGGGUUGCCAAGCCGCGAGGUGGAGCUAAUCCCAUAAAACCGAUCGUAGUCCGGAUCGCAGUCUGCAACUCGACUGCGUGAAGUCGGAAUCGCUAGUAAUCGUGAAUCAGAAUGUCACGGUGAAUACGUUCCCGGGCCUU
RNAcentral lists this ribosomal RNA (452 nucleotides) under uncultured Pseudomonas sp. Its description in RNAcentral is "bacterial SSU rRNA". It matches the Rfam family "Bacterial small subunit ribosomal RNA", at positions 929 to 1382 of the family's 1533-position model. The record is from RNAcentral. Lineage: Bacteria; Pseudomonadati; Pseudomonadota; Gammaproteobacteria; Pseudomonadales; Pseudomonadaceae.